UGCACCUACAGGCAGAAACAUUAUUCAGAGAAACAUGUCAUUAUAUUCCAAACAGGCUAUUAUUAUUAUUAUUAUUAUUAUUACUAUUAUUAUACGUUUUCCUUUUGUUUACAUUCCUUUAAGCUUAAAUGAAAAAAUGUUUUAGGAGCUAUAUUCAAGAAAACUAUCAACCUCGAAGGCUUAAACUCUGCAAAGGAAGAUGUCAGACAUGCUCAACUUUGCACCGCACUUCUCCCGGUUGGUCGCAGGAUAUAAAACUGCUCCACCUUGAGAUUGCUGCUUGCCAAGGAAAUGGUCAACAGUGACUAUGUUUACACAACUAUUUCCUGAAGGAGGAGGACUAAAAUACGUCCAUGCUUGUUCUUAUAAUAUAUGGCCAGUGGCCAGAAACCCAGAGUGAGUGGUGGGAGUGGCACAUACGAGAAGAAUGGCAGUGCAGGGUAGAAGGAAGGAAUGCGAGCAGAGCCAGGAACCCUGUAUCUCGGGCAGUUUGCGGAAGAGAUAAGACGCGCUCUCAGUGGCAGAUCCAUAAAUGGAAUGCUUAAAAGGGUACAGACUUGAGUGGUGUUCUAGACUCUAUCAGACAGCACGCUGAGAGCUCACGUGGCACAGCGGGUGUGUUUGCAGAGUACAGCUGGCCAAAAACAACAGUGUCUGAACUCAGGUCAGAUGCAAGACAAAACAGCCAUGACAUGGAGAACUGAAGGUCAUUAUUAUCUGUAAUCAUUCCAAACAUUUCCACUGAUAUCAUUUAAAAAUAACAUUGAGUUUUCCUUCCUCACCCAAAUACUCCUUCUUGGCAGCAAUUAUUUAUG
Tachysurus fulvidraco (yellow catfish) is the source of this 815-nucleotide long non-coding RNA. RefSeq lists it as uncharacterized. The record is from RefSeq and is a predicted model, not a curated record. Lineage: Eukaryota; Metazoa; Chordata; Actinopteri; Siluriformes; Bagridae. The transcript is spliced from 3 exons.